Molecule: long non-coding RNA, 2655 nt
Organism: Acanthochromis polyacanthus (spiny chromis)
Lineage: Eukaryota; Metazoa; Chordata; Actinopteri; Pomacentridae
Exons: 20
Source: RefSeq, a predicted model, not a curated record
UGGAGAUGUGACCCUAACCCUCUGACCAUUCUAUAGAGGUUCUCUGACGGUUCUGUAGAGGUUCUCUGACGGUUCUAUAGAGGUUCUCUGACGGUCCCUAGAGGUUCUCUGACGAUUCUAUAGAGGUUCUCUGACGGUUCUAUAGCGGUUCUCUGACGGUUCUAUAGAGGUUCUCUGACGGUUCUGUAGAGGUUCUCUGACGGUUCUAUAGAGGUUCUCUGACGGUCCCUAGAGGUUCUCUGACGAUUCUAUAGAGGUUCUCUGACGGUCCCUAGAGGUUCUCUGACGAUUCUAUAGAGGUUCUCUGACGGUUCUAUAGCGGUUCUCUGACGGUUCCGUAGAGGUUCUCUGACGGUUCUACAGAGGUUCUCUGACGGUUAUAUAGAGGUUCUCUGACGGUUCUAUAGAGGUUCUCUGACGGUUCCGUAGAGGUUCUCUGACGGUUAUAUAGAGGUUCUCUGACGGUUCUAUAGGUUCUCUGACGGUUCUAUAGGUUCUCUGACGGUUCUAUAGAGGUUCUCUGAUGGUUCCAUAGCGGUUCUAUAGCGCUUCCGUAGAGGUUCUCUGACGGUUCCGUAGAGGCUCUCUGACGGUUCUGUAGAGGUUCUCUGACGGUUCUAUAGGUUCUCUGACGGUUCUAUAGCGGUUCUCUGACGGUUCUAUAGGUUCUCUGGCGGUUCUAUAGAGGUUCUCUGAUGGUUCCAUACAGGUUCUCUGACGGUUCUAUAGAGGUUCUCUGACGGUUCUGUAGAGGUUCUCUGACGGUUCUAUAGAGGUUCUCUGACGGUUCUAUAGAGGUUCUCUGACGGUUCUAUAGCGGUUCUCUGACGGUUCCGUAGAGGUUCUCUGACGAUUCUAUAGAGGUUCUCUGACGGUUCUAUAGCGGUUCUCUGACGGUUCCGUAGAGGUUCUCUGACGAUUCUAUAGAGGUUCUCUGACGGUUCUAUAGCGGUUCUCUGACGGUUCCGUAGAGGUUCUCUGACGGUUCUAUAGAGGUUCUCUGACGGUUCUGUAGAGGUUCUCUGACGGUUCUAUAGAGGUUCUCUGACGGUUCCGUAGAGGUUCUCUGACGGUUAUAUAGAGGUUCUCUGACGGUUCUAUAGGUUCUCUGACGGUUCUAUAGAGGUUCUCUGAUGGUUCCAUAGCGGUUCUAUAGCGCUUCCGUAGAGGUUCUCUGACGGUUCUGUAGAGGUUCUCUGACGGUUCUGUAGAGGUUCUCUGACGGUUCCGUAGAGGUUCUCUGACGGUUCUAUAGAGGUUCUCUGACGGUUCUAUAGAGGUUCUCUGACGGUUCUAUAGCGGUUCUCUGACGGUUCCGUAGAGGUUCUCUGACGGUUCUAUAGAGGUUCUCUGACGGUUCUAUAGAGGUUCUCUGACGGUUCUAUAGAGGUUCUCUGACGGUUCUAUAGAGGUUCUCUGACGGUUCCGUAGAGGUUCUCUGACGAUUAUAUAGAGGUUCUCUGACGGUUCUAUAGGUUCUCUGACGGUUCUAUAGAGGUUCUCUGAUGGUUCCAUAGCGGUUCUAUAGCGCUUCCGUAGAGGUUCUCUGACGGUUCCGUAGAGGUUCUCUGAUGGUUAUAUAGAGGUUCUCUGACGGUUCUAUAGAGGUUCUCUGACGGUUCCGUAGAGGUUCUCUGACGGUUAUAUAGAGGUUCUCUGACGGUUCUAUAGGUUCUCUGACGGUUCUAUAGGUUCUCUGACGGUUCUAUAGAGGUUCUCUGAUGGUUCCAUAGCGGUUCUAUAGCGCUUCCGUAGAGGUUCUCUGACGGUUCCGUAGAGGCUCUCUGACGGUUCUGUAGAGGUUCUCUGACGGUUCUAUAGGUUCUCUGACGGUUCUAUAGAGGUUCUCUGAUGGUUCCAUACAGGUUCUCUGACGGUUCUAUAGCGGUUCACUGACGGUUCUAUAGCGGUUCUCUGACGGUUCUGUAGAGGUUCUCUGGCGGUUCUAUAGAGGUUCUCUGAUGGUUCCAUACAGGUUCUCUGACGGUUCUAUAGAGGUUCUCUGACGGUUCUGUAGAGGUUCUCUGACGGUUCUAUAGAGGUUCUCUGACGGUUCUAUAGCGGUUCUCUGACGGUUCUAUAGAGGUUCUCUGACGGUUCCGUAGAGGUUCUCUGACGGUUCUAUAGAGGUUCUCUGACGGUUCUAUAGCGGUUCUCUGACGGUUCUAUAGAGGUUCUCUGACGGUUCUAUAGCGGUUCUCUGACGAUUCUAUAGAGGUUCUCUGACGGUUCUAUAGCGGUUCUCUGACGGUUUCGUAGAGGUUCUCUGACGGUUCUAUAGAGGUUCUCUGACGGUUCUGUAGAGGUUCUCUGACGGUUCCGUAGAGGUUCUCUGACGGUUAUAUGGAGGUUCUCUGACGGUUCUAUAGAGGUUCUCUGACGGUUCCGUAGAGGUUCUCUGACGGUUAUAUAGAGGUUCUCUGAUGGUUCCAUAGCGGUUCUAUAGCGCUUCCGUAGAGGUUCUCUGACGGUUCCGUAGAGGCUCUCUGACGGUUCCGUAGAGGUUCUCUGACGGUUCUGUAGAGGUUCUCUGACGGUUCUAUAGCGGUUCUCUGACGGUUCUAUAGAGGUUCUCUGACGGUUCUGUAGAGGUUCUCUGACGGUUCUGUACAGGUUCUCUGACGGUUCUAUAGAGGUUCUCUGACGGUUCUAUAG